This 324-nucleotide unclassified non-coding RNA is filed under the name Hevea brasiliensis (rubber tree). Lineage: Eukaryota; Viridiplantae; Streptophyta; Magnoliopsida; Malpighiales; Euphorbiaceae. The record is from RNAcentral.
ACUGAAGAAAGAACAAUUUGUAACUGAAUCUAACAUAAUCCUUUUGCAUUGCUUGGCUGACAUUCCCCUCCAUAAACUACAGGUCAUUAAAUUAACAAUUUUGCUCAAGAAAUGCAGCCCCUCCAUUAGAAGUAUUCCUCCAGAAGAACAACGUUAGGGACCACUUUGUUUUCUCAAAGCUAAAAAUUUCAUAUAGGACCAAGGCAAGUUUGCCAAGUAAAAAUCUGGGGAAUCUGAGGAACAAGAAUAAUCACUCAUUGCACCAAAAUUAGUCAGCAAAAUAACUAAUACAACAACCAAAGUGUUCAUUCCACCUUAGGAAUU